This is a long non-coding RNA of Triticum dicoccoides, 2246 nucleotides long. RefSeq lists it as uncharacterized. The record is from RefSeq and is a predicted model, not a curated record. The transcript has 2 exons. Lineage: Eukaryota; Viridiplantae; Streptophyta; Magnoliopsida; Poales; Poaceae.
UUGCAGUAAGUAAUUUCAAAUGUUUCUCAUUAUCCUUUGCAGGGAAGGACGUGGAGAAGCAGCAAAAAGCACAUAGGAAAGGAUGAUUUUUCUCCUCUUUUUUCUAGCUCUCGGGACAUUUUUCAUCAGCAAAGCACUUCAGAAAUGAUGCCAAAGUUGCAUUUCUUACAUGAAGCAGAGCUCUCUAAACAAGUGGAAGCACACCAAAGUAUGGCCUCACAUUCCAAACUAUGGUGUGCGUGCAUGACGUGUUCGUGCAAACCGUCACCAUGGAUUCUCUCCUUCAAGAUAAUCUACUCUUGUGCUUUGAUGCAGCAGUGUAUAGACUUUGUAACUUUUAACCUCAUGUCGCCUUUGUUUUAUUUCAAUGCAUCUUCAUUUUCUCAUCUUGCUGCUGCUAAUUUCCUAAUUUGUUUUUGUUUUAUUUCAUUGUAUACACCACGAAUUGCUCAUCUUGCUACUGAGACAAACCUACAAGCUACAACACAAGGGAAAAAAAGAGGUGCAUUGCAUUUUCUAUUGUUUCUAGCAUUUCCUUAUUUAUCAGUGCAGAUCAUAUCUUGUUUUGGACAGGUUGAGAGGUAACAUCCCUACUCAUUCCUCAAGUAAAAAGAAUUAGAGCUCUUUAUUCUGUAUGUUAUACUCCCUCCGUUUCCAAAUAUAAAACUUUUUAGAUAUUUUAAUACAGACUACAUACAGAUGUAUAUAGACGUAUUUUAGAGUGUAGGUUCACUCAUUUUGCUCCGUAUGUAGUCCGCAUUGGAAUCUCUAAAAAAGCUUAAAUUUAGGAACGGAGGGAGUACAUGCCUUUAUUCUUUAUUUCAAUCAGUAUUUGGGAUGGGAGCACGCAGUUCUGUAGUUACUAGAGUCCAAUUAUUCAUGUGUUCUUUAUGGGACCAAAUAACACACCUUGGCCUACAGACCUGGCCAUUUUACAGCCAUCCUUUCAAAAAGGCUCAACUGAUCUGCUGUCAGAAAAGCCUUUCCGCAACAAUAAAAACCCUUUUUCCCCUCACAUCCUAUGUGUCUGCUGAGUUACUUUCAGAUUGGUGCUGACCUAUGAUGAACCGAGAGCUAAGCAGAUUAGUUAUAGUUUGGUCUUUGUUUGAAUAGGUAAUAGGAAAUUAUUUGAAAUGUUUCUAUAUUCUUGGUAAAUCAUAUACUUGAAUCGUAUAUGAUUGGCCUUUCGUUUGAUGGCUGAUGUGUUCUUGACUGAAAGUUUUGAAGCUGCGCGAUGAGAGUAUAGGUUGCUCCGAUGAGGGCAAUCUGAGCAGCAAAAAGAAAUACAUAAUUGUAGAAGGGCAGAUGUUGUUGAUGACACCGUAUUUGAUGAUGCUGUUGAUGAUAGUAUAAACUCUUUAGUGGAGGGCAUCAUGAAAGAGUGUUCCGAAGGAAGUAACAAUGAAGGGGAUGAGGCUGCACCUCACGACUUUAAGAACUGCAAUAAUACAAGCACAUUGGAUGAGCACACCAACAUAGAUCAGCUAGAAUCUAGUGAGAAAGCAAAACACAUGGUACUACUUUUAUAGCCAAGCUCAUCAGAUCCAAACAGCAAACAAUAAGAAUGGAUUUGGUCAGCUUUUGGCCAGGCUGCAAGUCCUGAAAAGACGUGAAGAUACCAAUAGCAGCAUCGUGAAUUGGGGGCAAGAUGUUUUCCGUUCCGAUGAUUGGGUGUGUCUCUUUGAAAGAAAAAAAUAACCUGGCCCUGUUGCGCGUGAGGAGGUAAUUCAGAAGACUGAUUUGCGUGAUGAUGUCGAAGGUUGAUUUACCUGGUGAUGCUGGGUGCAGAGCCCUAUCUGAUGAAGCUGGUAGCAGAACCGCAAGCCAGUACGUCAGUACAGUGCUUGAAGAGUCUGAUGAAACCUGCAAAUGUGAUUUGCAUGAGAAGCAGUUAAGCCACUCACCGUCAGAAUGGGAGCAUGUACUGAGGGAAGACCUUUUCCUCCCAGGAAACCCAUUGAAGUGAAAGGCAUCUGCUCUCCCCUGGGUUUAGUUCGAAAAUCAUGUUCUUAACUUCAAUGUGUGCAGACCGCGACAUAAGCAGCAGGAUCAAGCGUCGUAGUAGCUAGCCGGUGCCUAAACCUGAAACUUUAAGGAAAGAGAAUAUAAUCUCAGCUCAUGCCUCAUACUGAGCUGUUUGUAAUAUAUGCUGCCUGCAGUAUCUGUUUCUAUGCCUGAAAGGAUCAUGCACAGUACUUGAACACUUGUCAUAACAUGCGAUCUGAUCGCUAAUGCUUGCAUACGUA